Long non-coding RNA from Diceros bicornis minor, 695 nucleotides. RefSeq lists it as uncharacterized. NCBI's taxonomy places the organism in Eukaryota, Metazoa, Chordata, Mammalia, Perissodactyla, Rhinocerotidae. The transcript has 4 exons. The record is from RefSeq and is a predicted model, not a curated record.
UUCAGGAGGAGACAUUCGCUAAACUUGAGCAGACCAGGAAGGAGGAGUGGGUAUCUGUUGUGUCAUGGAUUACAGUCUUCUUCAUCUCCCGGCUUCAACUCAUGUCCUCUACAAUCCAUUCUCUGCAUAUCAAAUUUUCAGGAAGACUCGCCCUGAGCUAACAUCUGUUGCCAAUCUUCCCCUUUUUGCUUGAGAAAGAUUCACCCUGAGCUAACAUCUGUACCAAUCUUCCUCUAUUUUGCAUGGGGGAUGCCUCCACAGCAUGGCCACCAAUGAGCUGUGCAGUCUCCAACUGAAAGCCAGCAGGGAACCAAGGCUUCCCAACAAUCACAUGAAUGAGUUUUGAAGUGACUUUGCAACCCUACUAAAGUCUUGAGAUCCCUGCAGCCCAGCGUACAACUUGUCCGCAACCUCUUGAGAGCUCCUCAUGCAGAACUUCCCAGGUUUUCAAUUCAAAGAUGAUGACCUCCAUUCAUGAACAUCAGGUCCUUCUCCCUUAACGACCCAAGGAAAGCUGCAUUUCUCAAUCCCAUUCCUGUUGGGCAGGACUAUACCAGUAGAGCUAUCCAAUGGAGAGUGAGAAGCCCUGGAGCGGUUCUCCUGGUUCUCUUCCCCAGACCAAGUAAAAGAAAACAAAACAAAAAAAAAAACAAACAAAUAAACUAAAACAGAAACAAACGCACACACACUUGUUU